Molecule: long non-coding RNA, 2093 nt
Organism: Carassius auratus (goldfish)
Lineage: Eukaryota; Metazoa; Chordata; Actinopteri; Cypriniformes; Cyprinidae
Exons: 3
Source: RefSeq, a predicted model, not a curated record
UUUUGUUACGCACUUCAUUCCUAAGUAUGAUUUUACUUGUUUAUUUGAUUUUGAUAAAUGAUUAAAAUUAAGAUACAAAUUAUACCAAAAAAAAAAAAAAAAUUGUUAAAAAAAAAGGAAUUUUCUACAAACAAAAGAGUAUGAAGUGGUGAAAAAUUGUGUCUGACCCACUCCAUUUCUCCUGGCAUACUGCUGUCCAAUUCAUUACCAUACCCUUUAUGACCUUUACACUUUUUUUUUUCAUAAUUGACAGAUGAAGCAAACAAAAUACACAAAUAAUAUUUAAUCAUAAAUAUAAACCAAAAAUACAUUUUCUUAAAUGGCUACAACACCUUUAAUGUAAAGCACUUUUCCUAAUAUAUGUGAAAUGUGUUACAUAAACUUUCCCUGUGAUAAAAGAAAUAUAAAAAAAAAAUUACAAUCAAAACGUCAUUUAACAUGUACAAUAUAUUACAAUGGCUAGUAACAGACAAGUUAGAAUGAGAGUCAAACAGGCAAAAGUCAGAUAAAUGUGGAACAGCAAAUCAGAAAUACCAAGACACAGAUACAAUCAGACUCCAAUACACUCUAAACACAAUAUUUCACCAAUCUCUGUGAUACGAAACUCUAUAAGAAACACAUGAGACAAAUACAUUAAUACAAAGGUAAUGAGGUAACAAACAAAUGCGAAAUGACAAGAACGAAUUUGGCAAAUGGUACAAAGAUGGCCAAGUUUGAGAGUUUGGGCCGGUCCUUGUAUCUGGGUGAGGUGAGAAAGUGGACCUAUAGCUGCCUCCAAUGAAAAAGAACAUGCCCAUCUGUAACACAUAUGCACUCACGCAGAUACAAUAUACUGUAUACACAAGGGCAGUAUUAUGCAAAAAUAUUUAUGACAAGAAUGAACACUUAAACAGUUUAUAUGUCAUCUUCCCUGUAGGCAAUGAGGGAUCUUUAUCAAAUCAGAAAGAAGACCAGGACAAAAAGAGAUUUACAAUAAUGAAAAAAAUACUCCACAAACAUCUUUUUGAGGAAGUUGAUUUGGAGACAUUAAAGCUUUUUAGUUUGUUUACAGAUUUUUUCAUUCUAUGUGUAUUAAACUGUUUAAACUUUUUAUAAAAACAUUUUAACAUUUUGUAUUUCUCUCUAUCUUUUUCCAGAUUUAGUUUGGGCAAACAUUAUGGUUUUUACACUCACCGGGCACAGUGCAUUUAUUUUAUAUUACCUCAACAAGAUUCUGGAGAACACUAAUGGUAAGCUGGUAUCAAAUAUCAGCAAACUAAGUCGCCCUGUUUUUUCUCAAUGAAGAAAAAUUGGCAUGCUAUAAUAACAUUUACAUUUUUUCAGCCUUCACUUACUUUUAGAUUAUUUAUGGUUUUGAUUGUAUAGUACGGGUUACCAGGCAUACUAACCUGAGUUUUUAAACGUGUCAUUGAUCACAGAGCGUUCUGGAUGGAUGUUCGUCACAGUUCUUCUCCAUGUCUUGACUGCAACUGUUUCGGAGCGAUUUUCCAAAAGAGUUCCUGAUGCUGUGUACAAUACUUUGUUCAUGUUUGGGGUAGCAGGUCUGCCAGUGAUCAACUCUGUUUCUCUUGCAACAGAAUUAAUACUGCAAGUGUACAAGGGGGAGAGAACAGUGAAUGAUCUGCGUGUAUUAGUCCUGCCGUUUGAAAGCAUUAUGGCUGGUGUGUGGCUGAUUUUACAGAUCCUUGAAUACUGUGAGUUUCUGUGGUACAUUAUGCUCUUCAUGUUUGAGAGUCCUUAUUGAUAUUAACUGUCAUGUCUUCAUACAUGAAUUACAGGGAUAAGGGAAUGGAGAGAGUAAGUUUACAUCUUUUCCCAAUUUUUAACUACACAUUUUGAAGUCAACAGUAUAUGAUAACCCAGUAAUUAUAUUGUCUUAUAGAUAAUCCAUUUACUAUUUAACAACUGAUUUAUGUUUUGGUUAAUGGCUUAAAUGUUUUAACUAAUUAUCUUUCAGUGUACUGAAGGAGCUGUAUGCGCUAAGGGACUUUGUGGCAAAGUUCAUAUCAAAGGUAACUUUAUUUAAGAGGCUGAGUAAGUGUCUGAACUGCGUUUAAUUCCUACAUUUUAUUGCAUAUUCAUUGGCUAAUGAA